GAAGGUGUAGAUCAGUGGUAGAACACUUGCCUAGCAUGCAUGGGGCCCUGGGUUUGAUCCCCAGCACUGAGG
This 72-nucleotide transfer RNA is filed under the name Marmota monax (woodchuck). Its description in RNAcentral is "tRNA.Ala". The stretch from base 5 to 67 matches the Rfam family "tRNA", at positions 5 to 66 of the family's 71-position model. From Rfam's summary of the family: Transfer RNA (tRNA) molecules are approximately 80 nucleotides in length. Lineage: Eukaryota; Metazoa; Chordata; Mammalia; Rodentia; Sciuridae. The record is from RNAcentral.